GAAAAGAACUAACAAGGAUUCCCCUAGUAACUGCGAGUGAAGCGGGAAGAGCUCAAAUUUAAAAUCUGGCGGUCUCAGGCCGUCCGAGUUGUAGUCUGGAGAAGUGCUUUCCGCGCUGGACCGUGUACAAGUCUCUUGGAACAGAGCGUCGUAGAGGGUGAGAAUCCCGUCUUUGACACGGACUACCAGUGCUUUGUGAUGCGCUCUCGAAGAGUCGAGUUGUUUGGGAAUGCAGCUCAAAAUGGGUGGUAAAUUCCAUCUAAAGCUAAAUAUUGGCGAGAGACCGAUAGCGAACAAGUACCGUGAGGGAAAGAUGAAAAGCACUUUGGAAAGAGAGUUAAACAGUACGUGAAAUUGCUGAAAGGGAAACGCUUGAAGUCAGUCGCGUCGUCCGGAACUCACCUCGCCUUCGCUUGGUGCAUUUUCCGGUCGACGGGCCAAGCAUCGAUUUCGACUGUCGAUAAAGGCUGGGGAAUGUGGCACCUUCGGGUGUGUAUAGCCUCCAGUCACAUACGACGGUCGGGAUCGAGGAACUCAGCACGCCUUUAUGGUCGGGGUUCGCCCACGUACGUGCUUAGGAUGCUGGCGUAAUGGCUUUAAACGACCCGUCUUGAAACACGGACCAAGGAGUCUAACAUGCCCGCGAGUGUUUGGGUGGUAAACCCGAGCGCGUAAUGAAAGUGAAAGUUGAGACUCCUGUCGUGGGAGGCAUCGACGCCCGGACCAGACCUUCUGUGACGGCUCCGCGGUAGAGCGUGUAUGUUGGGACCCGAAAGAUGGUGAACUAUGCCUGAAUAGGGUGAAGCCAGAGGAAACUCUGGUGGAGGCUCGUAGCGAUUCUGACGUGCAAAUCGAUCGUCAAAUUUGGGUAUAGGGGCGAAAGACUAAUCGAGCCAUCUAGUAACU
Molecule: ribosomal RNA, 906 nt
Filed under: Pycnoporellus fulgens
Lineage: Eukaryota; Fungi; Basidiomycota; Agaricomycetes; Polyporales
Description: eukaryotic LSU rRNA
Rfam family: Eukaryotic large subunit ribosomal RNA
Source: RNAcentral